GGCCAGACUCCUACGGGAGGCAGCAGUGGGGAAUAUUGCACAAUGGGGGGAACCCUGAUGCAGCGACGCCGCGUGGGUGAAGGAGCACCUCGGUGCGUAAAGCCCUAUCAGCAGGGAAGAAGAAAUGACGGUACCUGAGUAAGAAGCACCGGCUAAAUACGUGCCAGCAGCCGCGGUAAUACGUAUGGUGCAAGCGUUAUCCGGAUUUACUGGGUGUAAAGGGAGCGCAGGCGGCACGGCAAGCCUGAUGUGAAAGCCCGCGGCCCAACCGCGGGACUGCAUUGGGAACUACCGGGCUGGAGUGCCGGAGAGGUAGGCGGAAUUCCUAGUGUAGCGGUGAAAUGCGUAGAUAUUAGGAGGAACACCAGUGGCGAAGGCGGCCUGCUGGACCGUGACUGACGUUGAGGCUCGAGAGCGUGGGGAGCAAACAGGAUUAGAUACCCCAGUA
Molecule: ribosomal RNA, 448 nt
Filed under: uncultured bacterium
Lineage: Bacteria
Description: bacterial SSU rRNA
Rfam family: Bacterial small subunit ribosomal RNA
Source: RNAcentral